This is an RNA transcript of Nicrophorus vespilloides, 2908 nucleotides long. It is a transcript of the gene named sphingomyelin phosphodiesterase-like, with no coding region annotated. The record is from RefSeq and is a predicted model, not a curated record. The transcript has 14 exons. Lineage: Eukaryota; Metazoa; Arthropoda; Insecta; Coleoptera; Silphidae.
AAAUAAUCUGUAAGCGGGUAAUGAGCGAAGGAAGGAAAGAGAAGAGAAGAGUAGGAAGAAUGUUUGUGUGACCCAGAUAGGAAGGACCAUCGACGGCGUGUUGAGUCGCGCAGCCGAAGAACAACUAAACGAAGAAUAACAAACCAGUCGCGCGCCUUUCACGCUACUGCAGCCGCGACUCUUCCAAGUUAGUCUCUCGCGAGUUUGACUCGGCUUAACAGCUCUGCUUCAAAUCGGACACCUUCUUUCAUCCAUUUUCCCUCUCUUCCACAUAUGCACUCUCCCUGCGAACAUCACAUCUGUAUCAGACUCUUUCUUUAACGCGUUGGAGGCGAACGUAAACAACCAGGAGGAGAGACAGAUGCAAAUUAAUUCGCGCCUCGCGUAACGAGUUGUUGUGUCUGGUUUCAUCGGAAGAGGACGAGCGCAUCAGCAGCAGCAGCAGCAACAACCAUUAAAAGGAGCGACGACGGAGAGGAGAUUUCAGAAAAAUUGGGAUUAAUUAGUUCGUCUAUUCAGAUUAUGAAAUAUAUACUAGCCCUAACAUGGAUUUGCCAGGCGAUAAUAUACGCUCAAGGUGCACCGAUGAUGAUAGACGCAACAAACAAAGACGAUUUCAACAUCAGCAAUUGGAACUAUCGAUUACCAUCGAACACGAAACCGAUUUUGGACGACAGGGUCAGAAAACACCAGAAGCCUGAACCGGCGAAAGUUUCACCCACUGGGAGACUGCUGUGGGAACGCGAGGACUCGACGCAUCUACCGAAGAUAGUAGAUAAAGCCCUACAGCUGUUGAAUUUGAAACAGGUGGCGUUCGAAAUCGAGAAUUCGUUGCUGUCCAAGGUCUCAUGCACUGCGUGCAAAGCAGGCGCUGGUCUGCUGCAGCAUUACAUCAGAACGGGGAAAACCGAUAAGGAGAUCAAGAAGAUGAUCAAUCAGUUCUGCGUCAGUCUGAAGAUACAAUCGGCGAGGGUGUGCGAGGGCAUCACCGAGCUCUUCUCCGGUGAGGUCAUCUACGUUUUAAGGAAAAUCGAUUCAAGUCCCGAAGAGAUAUGCAGCGUGAUCAUCGGCGACGCUUGCGGCGACGUCUACAAUCCUUACCACGAGUGGCAAGUCAUGUUUCCACCGGUCGCGAAACCGGAAAUCAAGGCGCAGAGGAUUCCGGAAGUGACGGCGCCUUCUUUCAAAGUUCUUCACCUCUCCGACACCCACUACGAUCCGUACUACAUGGAGGGAAGCAACGCCGAUUGCAACGAACCUCUGUGCUGCAGAUUGACGAACGGUCAUCCCGCAACCAAAGAACAGGCGGCCGGAAAGUGGGGCGAUUACAGGAAGUGCGACACGCCUAAGAUCACCAUCGAUAACAUGCUGAAACACAUCUCGGAAACACAUACCGAUAUAGAUUACAUUCUUUGGACGGGCGAUUUACCGCCGCACGACGUUUGGAAUCAGACCAGGGAGGAGAACCUGAAGAUUCUCAAGGAAACGGUCCUUCAGAUGUCCGACAUGUUUCCGGGAAUUCCCAUAUUCCCGGCUCUCGGUAACCACGAAUCCGCUCCAGUCAACAGCUUUCCGCCACCUUUCAUCGAUAGCCCCGAAAACAACAUCAGUUGGUUGUACGAAGAGCUGAACGAGCAGUGGAGGAAGUGGCUUCCGAGUUCAGUGAGCAACACCGUUCGCAGAGGAGCCUUCUACUCGGUCUUAGUCCGGCCCGGAUUUCGUCUCAUCUCUUUAAACAUGAAUUACUGCAACAACAAAAAUUGGUGGCUCUUGAUGAACAGCACUGAUCCAGCGACCGAGCUGCAAUGGUUCAUCUACGAAUUGCAAUCGGCGGAAUUCAACGGCGAGAAAGUCCACGUCAUUGGACACAUUCCUCCGGGUCACUCGGAUUGCUUGAAGGUGUGGUCGAGGAAUUAUUACGCCAUCAUCAGCAGGUACGAAUCGACGGUCACGGCGCAGUUCUUCGGACACACGCAUUUCGAUGAAUUCGAAGUUUUCUACGAUAAGGAGGAUUUGAGUAGAAGCAUCAGCGUGGCUUACGUGGGGCCAUCCGUGAGUCCCUAUUACGAUCUGAAUCCCGGUUACAGGAUCUAUUACGUCGACGGAGAUCACGAAAAAUCGACAAGAGCUGUGAUCGAUCACGAGACUUGGACUAUGAAUUUGCGGGAAGCGAACAUCUACGGUUUUCCGGUGUGGUUCAAACUGUACACGGCGAGACAGGCGUUCGGAAUGGAAGCCCUGAGACCCGACGAUUGGGACGCGUUCAUCGAGAAGAUGAGCAACGAGCCGCAACUCUUCGAUCUCUUCUACAAGUACUACUACAAGGCGAGUCCGGUGCGGCCCUUCUGCGACACCGAAUGCAAGAAGAGGAUCUUGUGCGAUCUGCGAUCGGGCAGGUCGCACGAUCGCAGGAAUCUCUGUCAAUCCAUAGAGUCGAGGAUCGACAGCACCGCGAACACCUCGUGGAAGCAGUGGAUCUACAACACCAUCACCGUCUCUAUGGUUUAAAAUGGUGAUGGUUUUUUAAGCGAGAGAACGAAAAACGUCAAAGUUUUUUUGAUUACGUUUGCCUCGAGAAUGUCUAUGCUGUGGUCCAUUCCGAGGCUGACGAUACAAAUCCCCAAAUACGUCUUAGGCUUAGGUUAACGCUGCACUAAACCCAUAGCACUAUUAAUAUUGUUUAAGCUAUCAAUGGUUAUUUUACUAUUUUUAUAUUUAUUUUUUGAUGUACAGUUAACGAAAGCUAUACGAUUUAGUCCACGAAAUACUCCACUUGUAGACUAUACACGUUUAUUGAUCUUUAACCAAAUAAUAUUGUUACACGGACUAUUUCUCCACGUGUAUACUUACUUAUUCGCUGCGUUCGCAGCAAAAUCCCUGUUUUUUUUUAUUGUAAUUUUAUUUUACG